GACGCAGAAGGGUUUAAGGCAGGACUUGAUAGGAAAGUGAUGAAAAUUGCCAUCAUCGGUGAAUGGUCCACCCCAGGAUCUGACUGCAAGACAGCAACCAUCGUGGUCGAGGGAACCAAAAUCCUGGAAGGAACGGAUAUCCCAAGCAAAAAGAUGAAGGGAAUGAUGGAAAAGACGGGAAACCCCGCUCUCUCCGUUUCACCUGGAGUAUGAAUACCACCAGCAGCAUGGAGCCAGCCGCCAUCAUGAACGAAAUCUGCAAAGUUCCAGACGCCAACAACUGUCUAUAUAUAUUCAUGUAGAAGAAAAAUGAAACUUAAAUUCUAUAUAGAGAAACAAAGCUGUACAAUCACAAACGUAGCAGUUCGCAAAAUGCAUGUUUUUUUUUAACAAACCACUGACCCUAUGUAUUUCAAGUGUAUAGACUUUAACAUUUCUAAAAGCAAUAAUUUAAAUGUCACAAGUUGUUAAACACUGUAAAAGAGAACGUAUUUGAAUCUUUUUCUCAAGAAUGUGCACGCCUAGGCGCACACACUCCAUCUCCCUUACAGGGUGACAAUGUCAAGAUGUGGCAUAAAAAUGUAAAACCAGGGAUAUACAUUAUUCGUCUUCAGACAGUGUUAAUGUUAUAGGUAUUUGGUGUUUUGAGUAGCCUGUAUGUAAAGGCUAUGUAAAAUCUUUGAAGAGCCAACAUGUUUUUAAAUUGCUUCAGUUAUUCUGCACCUCAUUCAGGUUUGUUGUCAAGGUUUUGUGCUUGUACUUGAAUGUGAUCCAGCGACCUAGUUUGAGUUCACUUUCACUAUGUGAAUGCUGCAAGACCGCAGUGAAAAGUUUUAUCUAUUUUAUGCCCAUGUCUCGUGUAAAUAAUGCACCUUUUGAUUUUAGUUAUUACAUUGUUGCCAUUGCUCAUACUCUCAAGAGCUCUAAUGUUUUAAAGAGCUACUUGUAAUUGCUCACAAUUAUGGAUUCUAUUAAAUCAGCUGUACAUGAC
Long non-coding RNA from Ictalurus punctatus (channel catfish), 991 nucleotides. RefSeq lists it as uncharacterized. The transcript is spliced from 2 exons. The record is from RefSeq and is a predicted model, not a curated record. Lineage: Eukaryota; Metazoa; Chordata; Actinopteri; Siluriformes; Ictaluridae.